RNAcentral lists this ribosomal RNA (533 nucleotides) under uncultured bacterium. RNAcentral describes it as "bacterial SSU rRNA". It matches the Rfam family "Bacterial small subunit ribosomal RNA", at positions 356 to 896 of the family's 1533-position model. The record is from RNAcentral.
GGGGAAUAUUGCACAAUGGGCGCAAGCCUGAUGCAGCGACGCCGCGUGGGGGAUGAAGGCCUUCGGGUUGUAAACUCCUUUCGCUAGGGACGAAGCUUUUUGGUGACGGUACCUAGAUAAGAAGCACCGGCUAACUACGUGCCAGCAGCCGCGGUAAUACGUAGGGUGCGAGCGUUGUCCGGAAUUACUGGGCGUAAAGGGCUCGUAGGUGGUUUGUCGCGUCGUCUGUGAAAUUCUGGGGCUUAACUCCGGGCGUGCAGGCGAUACGGGCAUAACUUGAGUGCUGUAGGGGUAACUGGAAUUCCUGGUGUAGCGGUGAAAUGCGCAGAUAUCAGGAGGAACACCGAUGGCGAAGGCAGGUUACUGGGCAGUUACUGACGCUGAGGAGCGAAAGCAUGGGUAGCGAACAGGAUUAGAUACCCUGGUAGUCCAUGCCGUAAACGGUGGGCGCUAGGUGUGAGGGUCUUUCUACGACUUUCGUACCGUAGCUAACGCAUUAAGCGCCCCGCCUGGGGAGUACGGCCGCAAGGCUA